RNAcentral lists this ribosomal RNA (229 nucleotides) under uncultured bacterium. RNAcentral's name for it is "partial 16S ribosomal RNA". It matches the Rfam family "Bacterial small subunit ribosomal RNA", at positions 107 to 334 of the family's 1533-position model. The record is from RNAcentral.
UGAGUAACACGUAUCCAACCUGCCGUCUACUCUUGGCCAGCCUUCUGAAAGGAAGAUUAAUCCAGGAUGGCAUCAUGAGUUCACAUGUCCGCAUGAUUAAAGGUAUUUUCCGGUAGACGAUGGGGAUGCGUUCCAUUAGAUAGUAGGCUGGGUAACGGCCCACCUAGUCAACGAUGGAUAGGGGUUCUGAGAGGAAGGUCCCCCACAUUGGAACUGAGACACGGUCCAA